CCUACGGGGGGCAGCAGUAGGGAAUCUUCCACAAUGGGCGAAAGCCUGAUGGAGCAACGCCGCGUGGGUGAAGAAGGUCUUCGGAUCGUAAAACCCUGUUGUUAGAGAAGAAAGUGCGUGAGAGUAACUGUUCACGUUUCGACGGUAUCUAACCAGAAAGCCACGGCUAACUACGUGCCAGCAGCCGCGGUAAUACGUAGGUGGCAAGCGUUAUCCGGAUUUAUUGGGCGUAAAGGGAACGCAGGCGGUCUUUUAAGUCUGAUGUGAAAGCCUUCGGCUUAACCGGAGUAGUGCAUUGGAGACUGGGAGACUAGAGUGAAGAAGAGGAGAGUGGAACUCCAUGUGUAGCGGUGAAAUGCGUAGAUAUAUGGAAGAACACCAGUGGCGAAAGCGGCUCUCUGGUCUGUAACUGACGCUGAGGUUCGAAAGCGUGGGUAGCAAACAGGAUUAGAUACCCCAGUAGUC
Molecule: ribosomal RNA, 465 nt
Filed under: uncultured bacterium
Lineage: Bacteria
Description: partial 16S ribosomal RNA
Rfam family: Bacterial small subunit ribosomal RNA
Source: RNAcentral